This 427-nucleotide ribosomal RNA is filed under the name uncultured Lactobacillus sp. RNAcentral's name for it is "bacterial SSU rRNA". It matches the Rfam family "Bacterial small subunit ribosomal RNA", at positions 128 to 524 of the family's 1533-position model. Lineage: Bacteria; Bacillati; Bacillota; Bacilli; Lactobacillales; Lactobacillaceae. The record is from RNAcentral.
GCCCCAUAGUCUGGGAUACCACUUGGAAACAGGUGCUAAUACCGGAUAAGAAAGCAGAUCGCAUGAUCAGCUUUUAAAAAGGCGGCGUAAGCUGUCGCUAUGGGAUGGCCCGCCGGUGCAUUAGCUAGUUGGUAAGGUAAAGGCUUACCAAGGCGAUGAUGCAUAGCCCGAGUUGAGAGACUGAUCGGGCCACAUUGGGGACUGAGACACGGGGCCCAAACCUACCUACGGGGGGAGGGGCAGCAGGUAGGGGGAAGUCUUCCACAAUGGACGCAAGUCUGAUGGAGCAACGCCGCGUGAGUGAAGAAGGUUUUCGGAUCGUAAAGCUCUGUUGUUGGUGAAGAAGGAUAGAGGUAGUAACUGGCCUUUAUUUGACGGUAAUCAACCAGAAAGUCACGGCUAACUACGUGCCAGCAGCCGCGGUAAU